GGGAAGGUGGCUGAAGACAGGCGGUGGUUUGUAAUUCCAUUUAUGGACAGGUGUCCCCUUUUCA
Molecule: transfer RNA, 64 nt
Filed under: Pseudotrapelus sinaitus (Sinai agama)
Lineage: Eukaryota; Metazoa; Chordata; Lepidosauria; Squamata; Agamidae
Description: tRNA-Tyr
Source: RNAcentral